GGAGCCGUAGAAUCCGGAACGCUAGUUUCGGAGGAGGCGCAAGUGGGAUACUACCCUCGUUGUAUGAACCCUCUAACCCGCGCCACUAAUCGUGGCGGGAGACAGUGUCUGGUGGGCAGUUUGACUGGGGCGGUCGCCUCCUAAAAGGUAACGGAGGCGCCCAAAGGUUCCCUCAGAAUGGUUGGAAAUCAUUCGCAGAGUGUAAAGGCAGAAGGGAGCUUGACUGCGAGACAGACAGGUCGAGCAGGGACGAAAGUCGGGCUUAGUGAUCCGGUGGUUCCGUAUGGAAGGGCCAUCGCUCAACGGAUAAAAGCUACCCUGGG
RNAcentral lists this ribosomal RNA (323 nucleotides) under Lacticaseibacillus rhamnosus. Its description in RNAcentral is "partial 23S ribosomal RNA". It matches the Rfam family "Bacterial large subunit ribosomal RNA", at positions 2150 to 2472 of the family's 2925-position model. Lineage: Bacteria; Bacillati; Bacillota; Bacilli; Lactobacillales; Lactobacillaceae. The record is from RNAcentral.